Long non-coding RNA from Oncorhynchus tshawytscha (Chinook salmon), 238 nucleotides. RefSeq lists it as uncharacterized. The transcript has 3 exons. The record is from RefSeq and is a predicted model, not a curated record. Lineage: Eukaryota; Metazoa; Chordata; Actinopteri; Salmoniformes; Salmonidae.
UUAAAAUGGCGGUACACCGUAAAGGGACGACAAUAUCGCAACAGUUCCUCAAAUGUUUCACGACACUUCGGGCUAACUUACGUGAUACCUGGUUUCUCAGAGAGGAAGGGGAAGAAUCUCAGGGUUUGUGAUGGCGGUCUAAAUGUCUUCGACUUCACUCUCUUCAAUCAGAUAUCAAAGGUCAACUGGAUUAAAAGGACCUGAGCCCUAGGACCAUGCCUCAGGACUACCUGGCAUG